Long non-coding RNA from Amaranthus tricolor (Joseph's coat), 4516 nucleotides. RefSeq lists it as uncharacterized. The record is from RefSeq and is a predicted model, not a curated record. Lineage: Eukaryota; Viridiplantae; Streptophyta; Magnoliopsida; Caryophyllales; Amaranthaceae. The transcript is spliced from 3 exons.
GAAUGAAUGAAUGAAUGAAUGAAUGAAUGUGAAGUAUUAGUAUGAAGUAUGAACUAAUAAUAAGUCUGUUUGUUUAGGAUGAGUAUUUAAUGGUCCCACUACCACUACCCUCCAACCUACACUUAUUUGCUACCAUCACUUUCAUCUCUUAUUUAUUUCACCAUUUUUUUCCCCUCACAAAUCAUAAUUCUCUUUCAGAGUUCUCCAACAUUUUCUUUUCUGGUUAACUUGUUUUUUUCUUUCUUCUUCCAGAAAUUAAGAGAGAGUAAUUAAAUGGGUGAAUAAAAUCCCCAUUAAUAAUUUGAAAGAAAUGGUUGCUUUGUGGGUGUUUCUCUGUCUAGAAAGUAGAAAAGAUAAGAUGAAUGAAGUAGUUGAGAAGAAAGGUGGUGUUAGAUUUGGUGAGAUUUUAAGGUCGCUUUCUGUCUCUGAUUCUCACGAAGAUAACGACCCUUCGUUCAAUCCCCAGCUUCUUCUUCUUCUUCUUCUUCUUGUCAUCUUAUUUUUACUAAGAGUAUUCAUUAAACACUGCUUAUUCUCCAAUUAUUCUGUAUUAGUUUCUCACCUUUAAUUUCUUCUUUCUUUACUCUCUCCUUUUCAUCUUUUUUCUUUAGUCUAAACGAUGAUUCUCAAAAUAUCCCUCUUUUUCUACUUUAUUUUUUAUAGCCCCAACUGAAUUAAUUAAUUAAAUGUGUGCAAUUUUUAAAUAAUAUUACUCUUUUCCAUAAUUUGGGUUCAUAAGUGAAUCCCAUCUUUUCCCUUCUUUCUUCAUAUAUUAUUCUUCUACAGGGUUUAAUUUUUUUAAUAUUAACUUUAAAAUUUUAUCUUGUUUGCUGGAACUUUUUUUUUUUCUUUUGCUGGUUUUUAUUUUUUUAAAUGUUUAAAAUAGUUUUGCCCAUUAAAGUUUUAUCCUUUAAGAAUAAGAAUUCUUCAAGAAUUGUGCUAAAAAUAAUAUAAUUUCAAAGUAAAUUAUCUAAAUAUACUUCAUUAUUUAUCCAUUAUUUAUUCCAAUUCUAUUAUUUUCUACCAUUUAAUACUUAAUACCAUAAUUAAUUAAUCUUGUAUAAUUUUAAUGACUUUGUUAUUAAAGGGAAAAAUAAUUAAAACUGUGCAUUUGUUGUAUAGGUUUAAAAAACCCUUCCUUAAUUUAAUGGGUUUUUUCUGCAGUUUAGCUAUCUUUCUCUUUUUAUAUUCCUAUAUUUUGGAAAAUUUUGGUGUAUAAAAUAUUGAAUAAAUAGAUUUAGUGGAGGAUUCUGUAGGCUCUUCAAUGCCUAGAGUUUGUGAUUUAUUAUAAAAAAGUAAUAUUAAUAAUUUAAUCUUUUUAUCUAAUUACUGUAAAUAAUUUUAUCUUUAGAUUAAUUUUUAAUAAUUUAAUUUUUUUUAGUUUGCUAUUAGUAUAUUUUUUUAUUUAAUAAUAAUUUAACAUUUAUCUUUAAUUUGUUGUCAUCAUAUUUUAUUAGUAUGCUGAUAGUAAAUUAAAAAUGAAGGUUAAAUUAUUAAAAAAUAAUUUAAAAUUGAUAUUAUUUACAAAGGAUAAUUGAAAAGUUAAAUUAUCAAUUCAAAUUUUUUUUUUAAGAAGCAAAUUAUUUUUUUUUUUUUGAGUUUAGUGGUGAUGAAAAAAAUAAUUAAAAUAUGUAGAGUGUACUUCCAUAGUCAGGGUAAGAUCAUAUCAGUGUUCAGUAAGUCUGCUAAAAAUAGUUUUAUAUGAUUCCUUUAUUUUGAUUCUUUUUAUCAAUCAAAAUACUCAACUUGUAGGCUCGUAGGAGUAAGUAAUGUUUUAAAUUUUCCUACUCUCAUCUUCUCUUCUUUCUCUCUUUCUUUUUGAGUUUGUUUGAGGGUGAAAUGAAAUGACAAGUGGGGUUUGCUUAUGUCUCCUCAAUACUCUUUUCUUUUCAUUACCUUCUCUCUAUCACCUUCUUAUGUCUUAUCAUUUACAACCUCUAAAUGCAUGGCUCCAAAUUUAUUUCUUUUUGACUUUUCUUUUCCAUUUUCAUUUUGUGAUUUAACUUCAUCUGUGUUCCCCAUCAUACUUUUUUUUUUCUUGCAUAAUUUUUUCUAAUUAAGCACAAUUCUAAACUUAUUAUACUAAAGCUUAAUACUAGGGUUAGGGUUUGUUGGUAUGCUAAUGAAUUUGUUUUGUACGAGUAGUUAUCUAGGGUUGUCUUGUUAGUUAAAUCUUCCUGGUUUUGCCCCCCCUUUUUUUUUUUUUUUUUUAAAUAAUGAUCAAUUAAUUUGAUGGUGUUUCUAAAUCUUCUUAUUCUUGUAACUAGUUCUUGUUUUUUAUAUUGUAGUUGAUAUCUUUUCUAGCACUAAUUAGUAAUUACAUGUGUUUAUCAUAGCUUCUGGUAAUCACAUAUGAUUACAAGAAUUAUUUUGAAAUUUCUAAGCUAUUUUUGUAUAUCAUUUUAUAUGAUACUACAUAGGAAAGCUAUAUGUAUCUAUCCGAUUGACCCCUCUGUGAAAACAUAUAAUUGAUAUUUUCUGCGUAUCUAAUGUUGAUUGAAUGAACACUUGUAUACUAUCCUUUUAAUUUAGGGUUUGUUUGGAUAUACGUAGAGGGAAUGAAAGGGGAGAAAUUUGAAGUUAUGAGAUGAAUAAUUUUAGUUAACGUCUCGAUCUAAAUUUGUUGAGAAAACUUUCAUUUCCUUUUCCCUUUCCUUUUCGUCCUUUCUUUUCUCUCUAAAAUUAUAUUCAUUAUCUGAAUAUAGAGUCUUACAGCUGACCUUUCCCAAACUACUUUGAUUUAUUCUUGAAUGUGUGGAAGAUUAUGUUAGUAUAUUUCUAUCCUAUCUAAGUGUAGUAAUUAAGCCAUAGAUAUAUGAAGAAAUCAGUUCAACCACAAAAUUAAUUGAUGGAUGAAAGGAAACUAGCUAAAUCAUGAUAACCUCAUGAAAAAUUACUUUUGCUUGUCAAAUGUUCAUGUUAUUGCAUGUACAAGCUUAAUUUCUUUAAUUAUCUUGUUAAUUACCUUAUUCUGAGAUGUGAUUAAUUAUUUUGAGUGAAAAUGUAUUGUAAGAGAGCUUCCUUCAGCCCACUCAUGGAUGGGGAAAAGGGGGUUUGAAUCAUCUGCCGACUCAUUCAUUCAAACACUCAGUAGAUCGAAUGUAUGUCACGGUAUGCUACUGUGAUUGCGUGAAUGAUGCGGGAGAUAAUUUCAUCCCUCUCUCUCUAUGCUUGGACUGAAGGGAGCUCCCUCUCUCUAUUCCAUUCAUUCAUCUUUUUUCUCUUUUAGAUGUUAACUUUACAGCUUAUUGUUUAGGAUGGUUUAUCUCACAUCGAUAAAUUAAAGAUUCGAUGCAUAAGUCAUUCGAGCCCUUCCUCAAUUUUUAAAUUCUAUCUCCUUGGCUUAUGAAAUUCCCCUCGUGUUUUCACGAUAAUGUACUAGCAAUCACAAUAAGUGUCUAGCCUAAUUUAAUACUAAUUACAUCUAUUUGUGAAUUGUGGUUUCAUACUCACAAUUCUAUGUUAUUUAUGGUUUUUUGUCGUUCUAUUUGAUUCUUAACAAUUCCUUAUUUUGCCGAACUUUAGCUUGCAAUAGAUAACAAAUUCUACAUUGCUAUCUUUGAGAAAUUGUCAGUGUGUGAGAUCUGCCAUUACUGUGCAAAUUGUGGAUGAAUUGGUGGUACUCCUUGAUUAUGGAAUUAAUAUACAAGUAUGCUUUGUUGUUUAGACUGAGAUUUCUUGCGAUUUGCCAACUGAAUCUUGAAUAAAUAGAAUUCAGUGUUCACAUUUGGUAUGAUAGCUGCUGGUUGGCUAACAAAUGCCUCAAAGAGUAUUUCAGUCAUCCCUCAACAAAAUGCAGGUAACACAAGUCUGUUACUAAUGGCCUCAUUUAAUUUUCAUGGAGUAUUUUGGAAAAGUUAUUUAUAAAGUUAAGUAAGCAAAUAAGCAUGAUACAGGCUGCUACUAUCUGAAAAAUAAGGACAGCAUUAAAUUAAUAAACUAAGUAUUAUUAUUAUUAUUUUUAAAACAUAAAUGUUGUUUGUUUAAUAAGGUUGUUGGCAAGCUCAGAUUCUCGUGGAUACUUACUUUUAAGCAUCAAAUGCUUACUUCAUUGUGAUUUCCAAGGAUGGAAGUACAACCCUAACUCCAUUUUCUUUCCCUUUGAAAUCGUGCUUGUGUCCUUGUGUUUUGCUUUACUAUUAUCCUUUUUCUAUGUUCAAAUUAUGCGGCUUUUUUUUACUAAGCUUAUUAUUUAUUGGAGUUCAUUUUCGUAAUUAGAGCAAGGUUGUUAGAAUUGGAAUCCUAUAUAGGAUCAGUAAAAGGAUAGAAUCAAAAAUUUUGGAAUUGAAUUGUAGUAUUUUAAGAUCAUAUAAAUAUGUUUUGAUAUGCUAUUGGAUAAUUGUUUAUAAUUAUAAUUGUUGGAAAAAUUACCGUAAAUAAUACAACUUUUUGUUUAUUUUCCUACAAUAAUACCAACUUUUAAUUAAUCAUAAAUAGCAGUAACUUUGGGGUUGUUUUCCUAUAAUAUGCUUAACAUGUUAAAAAUCAAACAAUAUAAGAUUAUGCGACAAAAAGA